CCCUUAGAUGUUCUGGGCCGCACGCGUGCUACACUGAGUGGAUCAGCGGGUCAGGUUGCGCGAAAGUGUUUCCUAAUCUUUAAAUCCGCUCGUGAUGGGGAUUGACGGUUGCAAUUUUCCGUCAUGAACGAGGAAUACCUUGUAAGCGCGGGUCAUCAUCCCGCGCUGAAUACGUCCCUGCCCUUUGUACACACCGCCCGUCGCUCCUACCGAUUGAGUGGUCCGGUGAGGCUUUGGGAUCUGGGCGGAAAGAGCGUUUCGCUGUCUCUGCCCGGAAAACUCAGUCGAACCUUAUCAUUUAGAGGAAGGAGAAGUCGUAACA
Molecule: ribosomal RNA, 322 nt
Filed under: uncultured eukaryote
Lineage: Eukaryota
Description: partial 18S ribosomal RNA
Rfam family: Eukaryotic small subunit ribosomal RNA
Source: RNAcentral